This 253-nucleotide ribosomal RNA is filed under the name uncultured bacterium. RNAcentral's name for it is "partial 16S ribosomal RNA". It matches the Rfam family "Bacterial small subunit ribosomal RNA", at positions 524 to 776 of the family's 1533-position model. The record is from RNAcentral.
UACGUAGGGGGCAAGCGUUGUCCGGAAUUAUUGGGCGUAAAGAGCUUGUAGGCGGUUUGUCGCGUCUGCUGUGAAAUUUCGGGGCUCAACCCCGAACUUGCAGUGGGUACGGGCAGACUAGAGUGUGGUAGGGGAGACUGGAAUUCCUGGUGUAGCGGUGAAAUGCGCAGAUAUCAGGAGGAACACCCGUAGCGAAGGCGGCACUCUGGGCCGGUACUGACGCUGAGGAGCGAAAGCGUGGGGAGCAAACAGG